This 253-nucleotide ribosomal RNA is filed under the name uncultured bacterium. RNAcentral describes it as "partial 16S ribosomal RNA". It matches the Rfam family "Bacterial small subunit ribosomal RNA", at positions 524 to 776 of the family's 1533-position model. The record is from RNAcentral.
UACGUAGGUGACAAGCGUUGUCCGGAUUUACUGGGCGUAAAGAGCGCGCAGGCGGUCGAUCAAGUCGAGUGUGAAAGCCCCCGGCUCAACUGGGGAGGGUCAUUCGAUACUGAUCGACUCGAAGGCAGGAGAGGGUAGUGGAAUUCCCGGUGUAGUGGUGAAAUGCGUAGAUAUCGGGAGGAACACCAGUGGCGAAGGCGGCAUCCUGGACCGGUAUUGACGCUGAUGCGCGAAAGCGUGGGGAGCAAACAGG